AUGCACUGGAUCAGCUGGCAAAAGCUCACAGAAUCUAAAGCGCGAGGUGGUCUCGGUUUCCGGGACAUGUACAGCUUCAAUGUAGCGAUGCUAUCACGCCAAAUCUGGAGGUUGGUCCAGAACCAGGAUACUUUAUGCGCCAAAUUGCUGAAGGCUAAAUACUACCCAGACACACAAAUUUUUGAAGUUGUACCGAAGGAGGGAAUCUCAUAUGCGUGGCGCAGCCUUCUUCAUGGGUUGGAGCUGUUUAAGGAGGGUUAUAUCUGGUGCAUUGGAGAUGGUACAGAUGUCAAUAUUUGGUCCGAUCCGUGGCUCCCGAGACCGUGGUCCCGACGGGUUAUUACGCCACGAGGUGCUCAUCUCCUGGAGCGUGUGCAUGAACUGAUUGACCCAGUGUCGGGUACUUGGGAUGAGCAACUCGUCAGAGAAACAUUCUGGGCGGACGAUGCCCAUCAUAUUCUGCAGAUCCCGCUAAGAGAAGGUAUCCAAGAUUUCAUAGUCUGGCAAUAUGACUCGAGUGCAAAAGUAUCAAAGAAGGCUGGAGAGAGUUGGCCCUAG
Molecule: ribosomal RNA, 558 nt
Filed under: Triticum aestivum (bread wheat)
Lineage: Eukaryota; Viridiplantae; Streptophyta; Magnoliopsida; Poales; Poaceae
Description: partial small subunit ribosomal RNA
Source: RNAcentral